GCCUAGUUAGCUUAGUUGGCGUCUGCCUUGUAAGCGCUAGGCCGCGGGUUCGAUUCCCGCCCGGGGCG
This 68-nucleotide transfer RNA is filed under the name Diaphorina citri (Asian citrus psyllid). It matches the Rfam family "tRNA". From Rfam's summary of the family: Transfer RNA (tRNA) molecules are approximately 80 nucleotides in length. Their secondary structure includes four short double-helical elements and three loops (D, anti-codon, and T loops). Further hydrogen bonds mediate the characteristic L-shaped molecular structure. tRNAs have two regions of fundamental functional importance: the anti-codon, which is responsible for specific mRNA codon recognition, and the 3' end, to which the tRNAs corresponding amino acid is attached (by aminoacyl-tRNA synthetases). tRNAs cope with the degeneracy of the genetic code in two manners: having more than one tRNA (with a specific anti-codon) for a particular amino acid; and 'wobble' base-pairing, i.e. permitting non-standard base-pairing at the 3rd anti-codon position. The record is from Rfam by way of RNAcentral. Lineage: Eukaryota; Metazoa; Arthropoda; Insecta; Hemiptera; Psyllidae.